This 685-nucleotide long non-coding RNA is filed under the name Mustela putorius furo (domestic ferret). RNAcentral describes it as "lncRNA (ENSMPUG00000025372.1)". Lineage: Eukaryota; Metazoa; Chordata; Mammalia; Carnivora; Mustelidae. The record is from RNAcentral.
GCUAUCUGUAAACUACUUCCCGCCCUGGGGAUUGUUUUUUGUAAUGGGCUAAUCAGGUCCCAGUGAUAUCUAAAAGGGGAUUUGUAGAGAAAAGACCAAGAUUGGUCAUGAAGCGAAUUUGAUGGCAAGAAGUAAGAAAGAUAUUUGGGGGCAAAUGAAAUAUGGGCCCCAAGAGAUCCUUAAAUCAGGAAGCUUGAGAGGCUAACUGAAUUGUCCAGACCUGAGACACUAGUGGAUUUCUGGAGCAAAAAUAUCUUCAAAACCAGCCAACCAACCAACAGCACAGGUCGCUUGGGGACCAAAGUCUCCAAAACCGACAAAAAUGCCCCAGACUUCAAUGCUCCCACGUUCUGUCCCAGCUGUCCAGAAUCUCCUCUUGACUAGGGGGCUUUGUUCCCUGUUGGGAUCCGGAGAUGAACUUAGGUCUAGACAAAAGCUUGCUCGGGUCAAGUGGAAAAACAGAGAUGAAAAGACAGGAGCUCUGAUAAUGACUUCCUAGUUGUGUGGACUCCAGAGAGACAACUCCAAAAGGAGAGGAAGAGGAAGAGGAAAGAAGAGAAGGAGACAAAGAAGGAAGGAAGGAAGGAAAGAAAGAAAAACGAACAAAAGAGAGUAAAGGUUAAUUUUCCAGAGUCCGUGUGUUGUGAAUAAGGUCUGGGGAAGUGGAUUCUGACAACUGAGAGGA